CACAGAAAUAUUACAUGUUUCUCGUAAACAUGAUGUCUCACCUCUGGAGUAUUCCUCGUUGUUUUUCUUUUUUUUCUUGUAAAUUAUCAUUAUUUUCUUUCAUUAGAUAUGAUAGGAGAGAGACAGGAAAUAAGAACAGCAAAGCGAGAGCUGAUUUGCAGCCAAUAAUCACAACAAAGACUGAAACCUGCAAUAAUUGUAAUGAGGUUUGGAGCCUCUGCAAUUUCCUUUUUGUAAAGUGCAGCGCCAAAAACUGGGAUUUUAAAUGUGUGACUCAUAUAAUAUAUCUUCAUUCUUGUAACAUGUCCAUUGAUUUAGAAACAUCAAACAUAUGAGGUCCCCUGCCAAUGCAUUUUUUUUUUGGCAAUUUCGAUUGCCAUAUUGGCCCCUCCAACUAUUUUUCUAUUUAUCCCUGUAUCUUAAGAUACUUUGAGUUACUCAUGUCUUAACUAGGUACAGGGUCAAACUUAUUUAAUGAAAUUUCCUUGACUCUUUUAGGGAGGCAGGAGAAGUUAAAUAAAGUUCUGGCAUCAAUUCAUGCCAUUGGCCAAACAAGUUCCAGCUGACCAGGUCCAAGCUCUUCAACUCUCAGCUUCUCAUGCAGACAUCUGGGUUUUCUUUCUGCAUUUUGUUGACUUUCUCUCUGGCUCUAGCCUCAAACUCUUUCCUUAGGUUCAAACUCUGCCCUGUUCAACGGAGAGUCUCAAUUAAGUGGUAUGUUGCUCUUUUGCUGUCACCUGCUGGCUGGUGCUGCAUGAUGCAAUUUGGGUGCAAUGAGUCUUAAGUUGAUUUCCAACAUUGUAAAGGACAAAAUGCACAUGCAACACACUCAUUGAAGACUCUUUUUUUUUUUUGGCCUUGGACAACAAAUUUGUGAAAAAUCUGUUUCUCUAGGCUCACAGGAUAUUAUGAGGCUACAUUUUAAACAUAGUUUACUCAUUUCACACUUAAGUCAAAAAAUGUAAUUUCGUUUAAUUUUUGUUAAGAGUGGUGGGGUUUUACCAAAAUCACGUUACCUGUCAUUUUCAAUGACUUUUCUUCUGCAGAGCUCCAGUAGCUCAUUACCAAUUUGCUUCUGAAUCGUGGACGGAGACAGCGCUGCUCUGCACCCUCCUCUUCAUGCUAGCUUGUAGCCUAAAAUUACCGGUGUCGUAGAGGUGGCAGGUAAUAUAUGAACUAUUCAGCUCUUGAAUGUCUUUGGGGGCAUGAUGAAAUAAUUAGCUUUCUUAACAGCAUUGCAAUCCACUACCGCACACACUUGUUCCACCAUCGUCCUCUCUACUUCUCUGGGUCUAGCCUGCAGAGUGGGGCACCAGGGGCAGAGCAUGGGCAUGUAAUGUAGUUUUAAGAAUUCCCUUAAUUGUUGUUUAACUUUAUUGGUGAGUCACAGAGAGCCUUAUUUGAAGCCCACCCUGCUUUCUAGCAUUAUCUUCAAUUUUAGUUUCAGUGGGUUUCCAAUCAACAAAAUUAACAUCAUGCUGACAGAGACUUGACACGAAAGAUUCACACCAUGUUAAAAAAAAAAGAGAGGUCACUCCUCCCUCUGGUUUCACACUUGAGACUCCUUUUAACAGUCUCUCUGCAAAAUGAAUUUUCCCCCUGCCAGUAAUUGCACAGAAAGCAGGUUUAAGGUAUUUCUCUAUUGGCAUCAGGAUUAGAAGCAGAGGUUAUUAGCAUCCUUGAUAGUCCAUGCUUGGGGAAGUCAGGUCCAUUUUUCUAACUGCUCAAUACACAAGAUGGUCUGGACUUCUUUAGAAAAACACCAGGUAUUUCAGAUGGCUAUUAUUUAACUUUCCUUCCUGCAUACUUUGAUAGUUUUCUCCAAACCUUAUUACAUUGAUGUAUGGUUAAAAUACUUCUUUAAAAACUGCCCUGCAGUGGCUGUCAUCCUAAGAUUGAGUGUGAUGGUGUAUUCUUGACAGUGAAUUAGAAGUAGCAAAAAACAAAGUCAAGAUUAAGGACACACAAAUCCUGACAAAGAGCAGCUUCACAGGACUGAAGUCCUCAGUGCUACAAAGAAAAUUUACUUCUGACCAUUGAGUAAGAAAAGGGGAAACAAAGAUCUAUCUAUCUAUCUAUCUAUCUAUCUAUCUAUCUAUCUAUCUAUCUAUCUAUCUAUCUAUCUAUCUAUCUAUCUAUCUAUCUAUCUAUCUAUCUAUCUAUCUAUCUAUCUAUCUAUCUAUCUAUCUAUUCAAUAAGAUCAGCUGUUGCAGUCAACAGUUUCAAUACACCCUUACAUACAUUUAUCUACAUUUUUUACUAUAUUCUACAUUUUAGAUUAAUGUUUAGACAUCACAACUAUGACGGAGCACAUGUAGAAUGAUUUAGUAAGCGAAAAAGUGGGAAACAAACCAGAAUCUGUUUUUUAUUUUGGAUUCUUAAAAAAAAAUCGCCCUUCAUGAAGACAGCUUUACGGACUGUUGGCUUUCUCUUAAUGAGGUUUUCACCUGGAAUGGUGUUCGAACAGCCUCAAAAGAGUUCCCAGAGAGUUUCCAGAGGUGCAGAGAAACAGAUUUUUCUUUACUCUGCUGUCCAUCACAACCCCAGACCAACUCAAUUGGUCUUAGGUCAGGUGAUUGUGGGGGCCAGAUCAUUUUGUGUAGCACUUCAACGCUCUCCUCUUUGGUCUAAUAGCCCUUACACAGUCUGGAGGUGUGUUUGGGGUCACUGUCCUGUUGAAAAACAAAUAACAAUCCCACAAAGUGCAAACCAGAUAGGAUAGCAUGACGCUGCAGAAUGCUGCGGUGGCCAUGCUGCUUAAAAGUGUGGCUUGAAUUUAGAUCCACCUCCAGCGGCACCAGUAAAGCACCCCCAUACCAUUACACCUCCUCCUUCAUGCUUCACAGUGGGAACCAUCCACUCACCUUUUCUGUGUCUCACAAAAACAUGGGAAAAAUUCUCAAACCCACCAGACCAAGGUGCAGACUUCUUAAUGUUUAAUAUCCAUUAUUUGUGUUUUUUGGCACAAGCAGCUCUCUCCUUUUUGUUGAUCCUCCUCAGAAGUAGCUCCUUUGCAGCAGUUUGACCAUCAAGGCCUGAUUCACACAGUCUCCUCUGAACAGUUAAAGUUGAGAUGCUGCUGAUACUUGAACUCUGUGAAGCAUUUAUGCUGGCUCUCUUCUAAGGCUGGUUACUCUAGAGAGUUUAUCCUCUGCAGCAGAGGUGAUUUUUGGUCUAACUUUCCCUCAUGAAAAUCAGUUUCUUCAUUGCAUUGAUGGUUUUCGGGACUGCACUAGAGCCUUGUUUAUACAUACCCAGUUAUUUUUAAAAAUGGAGACAUUAACCAUCAUUUGCACCCUUGUUAGACGCAAAUGGAGAAUUCUCCCCUGAAAACAAUGCUUUUUAAAAACUCCAGCCGGAGUGGACCUUUUGGACAACUCUGUUUGCACAUUUGCAUGUCAACUGAGAAAAACGGAGGUCAAUGGAGAGUUGGAUAGCUGACUGCAGAUUGUGCACCGGAAACUGGGUUUAAUGUGAUCUACAGUUUCACCAUCUACAGUUUAUGUUUAUAAUCUAUGGUGAGAAUAGCGGUUGCAUUUAUGAUGGUGCAAUCCCUUUACAUUUGUUACCUCCGCCAAGGAGGUUAUGUUUUUGGUAGCGUUGGUUUGUUUGUUUGUUUGUUUGUUUGUCUGUGAACAACUUUACAGAGAAAGUUACAGACAGAUUGACCUGAAAUUUGCACCAGAAGUCCAUCUCAGCCCCAGGAGGAUCCCAUUACAUUUUGGUGGUGAUCCGGCUCGCCUUCUGGAUCCAGGAAUUUUUUGAAGGAUUCUUUAUCAUUGUGAGAUAGGGCAAAUUUUGGAAUUUUUACAUUUAACUUUAUAAAAAUGGCCAGAGUCUUUAGGAAAAAAUUACACAAAAGGAUCUCAAUGAGUUUUAUGAGGUGUCAAAUGUUGAUCCUGAUCCACACAAAAUUCCGGAUACUGUGAGCUGCUUGGUGGAGGUCUGCGCUCUCAGAGUGCUUUUCUAGUUUGCAUUUGCAUCCUUUCCAAAAGAAGAGAGUGACGUUGUUGUUGCUGCUAUGCUGAAUUCUGAUUGGCUUUUUUGAAAACGUAGUUGUGUGCACUCAGUUUUUUUUGUAAACGGAAAGGGUGAAAUAUCCGUUUAUGAAAAUAGCCGGGCACGUGUAAACAUAGGCUAGGAUACAUUCAAAGUUUUUCUGAAUUGACUAAUCUUCAUAACUUUAAGUAAUGAUGGGACUGCUGUUUCUCAGUAGAGUUUCUCUUUUUAUAUUAUGGAUUAGAACAGAAGUCGACUAGGGCUGCGUAGGAUUGUGUACAAACCCUAUCUUUGCAUGAUGAAACUCAUGGUCUUCAAUCCUUGAAGAAGACCACAUUAACUCUUAACAAUUAAGGCACACCUUUUGAGUGAAAUCCAGUCCAAGUGUUUACCUUUUGACUUAGUCUGUUUUCAUAGCAAAAGGUUAAUUUCAUUCAAAUACAAUAGAAUGCAUACUCAGUGUACAGUGAGGAUGCUUAUAGCUGUGUGAAAUGUGCAUUAUGUUUAAAGGGCAUGCAAGACUGGGUGGUUUUACUCUGCUUUAGUUCACUUAAGGUCUAAAUAAAGUCAGGGAGAUUACUGGGAUUGUAUUACAGUACAGUUAGUCUGCAUAUGUGUGUGUGCGCGCACCUUUGUGUGAGUAAGGUUUAUGUUCCUGUGUGUUGGGGCAGCUGCGUUCAGCUCCUUCUUGCUGGAGCUCCAGUCUGUGGAGGUAAUGAAGAUCAAUGAGAGGAACAGUCGAGGCCGGCUCAGAUCCAGGUACUGUCUCCCUGUUUCAGGCCAAAGCUCUAUCGAUCCCCCCUGUGCUCAACUCUGCCAGCAUCUGAUAAAGGGCUUCUAUACAAACACACACAAAGAAAAAAAUGCACACUCUCGCACAAAGACUCACUCAUGUACACUACCAAAGACACACACUAGGAUGCUGGGCUAAGUCCCUAAUGCCGGAGAAGGAGUUAAGCCUCCAUCACCCCUUUUACAGUUUUCUGCACUGUCUCAAACACCUGAAGGAAAAUGUAGAGCUCACAUUUCAUCAUUGUCAAAUAAUGCCGACUGAGUAGAGCUAUUUUUCACCCUGCAAAUUGCCUUGUGGUGGUGCUGCUUUCAAGUACACUUUUCUUUGCUCCUACUUCGAAAUGCGGACAAUGGAAAUAUGAAAAUAUCAUGUAUCCAAGUGCUGUUUUUGUCAGCAAUGGUAAGAGCAAAUCCUCCAAUAAGAGCAGUCUCUUCUUAAUGGAUGUUAUGUGAAUUCACAAAUAGGGGCUCCUGCAGCAGGCUUUCUUGUCAGAGUUGCAAAAGGAUGUUGGUGUAAACACUUAAAACUCUGCACUGAAGUGUAAAUACAUAAUGCAGGUGAAUUUUGAAAAAGAAAAUAUGUAGACACUAUGUUUACGGCUCAUGUUGGAGGAAAUGUUGCAUUCAUGGUUGGAGCUAAUUCCAGUAGAUUCUGCAGAACUCAAUAUCGACUCAAGUCUUCUAGUUUCCAUUUGUCUGCUGUCCUCUGAAUACAAUCUCAGAACCUCAUGUGAGUGAUAAAAAAGAGAUUCAGCUUUCACUGACAGCAGUAAAUAUGUACACAAAAAAACAUCCUCCAUCGUUGUUCCUAAUACCCAACUUGAAGGGUGUGAUAGACCACGACACCACUUGGGUACAGCCUACAACCUGUGAGCACUAAGACCAGGUCCACAAUAUCUUGGAAAGUGUUUAACAAUGUCGACAAAAUGAAACAACCUGCUAAAACAAAAGUUUGUUCGCUUCAUGUGAUGGAAGUUGGGCUGAAAUGAAGCAACAGCCUUCGUGAAUGAAUCCAGGAAGGAGAUGCAGAAGAAGACAACUGAGGCUGCAGGCUUUAGCAAGCCAACACUGUGCCAAUGAUGCACUUCACAUAAAACCUAAAAAUUGACUUUUUGUUCAAUAUUUCUGAAUAAUAACAGACAUAUUCUGCUGUAAGAAUUAUUUGUCUAAUUAUCUCCGCCUGUUGGGAUCAAUGUUUGUUUCAGGCUGGCCAGAGGUGGCAUCCCUUGAAAUCAGAUUAACUCAAAGUAUAAAUUUGAAGGCUGAAAUACGAGACAUUUAUAUUUUAUUGUAUCAUUAAAAAAUAAAAAAAAUUCUGUGUUGCAACAGGCUGUAACCAAGGGCGUAGAAUUGGGUAGAGACGCUAGAGACACAUCCCUACCAGUAAUCAGCUGCUACAGUGUAGCCUAUCAAUACAACCGCUGUCCGUAGUGUUUAAUCAAUGAUUUUGGCACACAAAGGGUUAACAGUUGGUCUCAGCUACAAGUCUAGCCUCUAACCUAAAUAUUGCUCUUCGAUUGGCUGCUGAUUUCCCGCUUAAGUACAUGUGAUUGGCUGUCUCUGCUGUCACUACAUCUGCGUGUAAAAGCUACCUGCUACUUGGACUGAAAGUGAGGCAGACAGUGCAUGUUAUUUGCAACCGCAGAGUGUUAGUUGUCAACAUGUUUGACAUAUUGUGCUUGGGCCAUGUCAGCUUAAACAGAUUUUAAUAUCAGCGGUGCCAUUUACAUUUACAUCUGUGUUUGUGUCGUUAUGCGUGCAUGGUAUUGGAUUUGUCUUUAGAUAUUCAGAUAUGCAUUAUAAACACGAUAGUUUUCUGACUAUUUGCUUGUUUGAUCAGCCCCUGUAAAAGAUGUGCUUAAAGUGGAGUUCGUUUGUAGUUUUCAUUUGUACAUGUGCGAAAUUGUUUAGGUCCACUUCGUCAUGUAGAGCUGAUCAAACAAGCAAACAUUUGUGUCCCCGCCACCAAUGUCAA
RNAcentral lists this long non-coding RNA (6766 nucleotides) under Xyrichtys novacula (pearly razorfish). The record is from RNAcentral. Lineage: Eukaryota; Metazoa; Chordata; Actinopteri; Labriformes; Labridae.